ACCUCAGUAACGGCGAGUGAAGCGGUAACAGCUCAAAUUUGAAAUCUGGCUCUUCCGGAGUCCGAGUUGUAAUUUGUAGAAGAUGCUUUGGGAGGUAGGGCCGGCCUAAGUUCCUUGGAACAGGACAUCAGAGAGGGUGAGAAUCCCGUAUGUGGCCGUGGCCUACGCCCGUGUAAAGCUCUUUCGACGAGUCGAGUUGUUUGGGAAUGCAGCUCAAAAUGGGUGGUAAAUUUCAUCUAAAGCUAAAUAUUGGCCAGAGACCGAUAGCGCACAAGUAGAGUGAUCGAAAGAUGAAAAGCACUUUGGAAAGAGAGUUAAACAGUACGUGAAAUUGUUGAAAGGGAAGCGCUUGCAACCAGACUUGGGCGUCGUCGAUCAUCCGGGGUUCUCCUCGGUGCACUCGACGAGGCACAGGCCAGCAUCGGUUUGGAUGGUUGGAGAAAGGCCCUAGGAACGUAGCUCUCUUCGGGGAGUGUUAUAGCCUAGAGCGCAAUGCAGCCCAUCCGGACCGAGGACCGCGCCUUUGGCUAGGAUGCUGGCGUAAUGGUUGCAAGC
This 555-nucleotide ribosomal RNA is filed under the name Golovinomyces cichoracearum. Its description in RNAcentral is "partial large subunit ribosomal RNA". It matches the Rfam family "Eukaryotic large subunit ribosomal RNA", at positions 77 to 645 of the family's 3401-position model. The record is from RNAcentral. Lineage: Eukaryota; Fungi; Ascomycota; Leotiomycetes; Helotiales; Erysiphaceae.